Molecule: long non-coding RNA, 1055 nt
Filed under: Homo sapiens (human)
Lineage: Eukaryota; Metazoa; Chordata; Mammalia; Primates; Hominidae
Description: HSALNT0012645
Source: RNAcentral
UUCAUCAAAAAUAUUUUUUUAUUUAUUUAUUUUGAGACAGGGUCUUGCUUUGUCACCCAGGCUGGAGUGCAGUGGCACCAUCGUGGCUCAAUGCAGCCUCAAUCUCCAGGGCUCAGGUGAUCCUCCCACUUUAGCCUCCCAAGUAGCUGAGACUACAGGCGUGAGCCAUCAUGCCCAGCUAAUUUUUUUGUCAAGGCAAAAGGGUUUCAUAUGUGACCUAGGUUCUGUUAAGCAAAUGGCCAUGUGCUUUCACGUGCUUCAAUCUUUAUGGCAGGUGCCUGGUCCUAUGGACAUUUUAAUUUCAGACUCUGGCUUAAAGACUUGGAGGCUACACUUCCAAAAGAAAAAGUAACAUAAUAAUAGGUAUGGCACCCACUCUGUGUAGCACUAGCUCCUAGAAUUGGAGGGCUAGAAAUUGAUCUGGUGUCUAUAGCAACUUAUGAGGGACAGUCAUGCCUAGGAAAAUGUUCCCUGAGUGGAUUAAAGUUUUAAUGUGUGAGAACUGGUGUUUCUAGAGGAGACCUAGCAGAAGUGUGAAGGUAAUACUAUAAGAAAAUAAUUUUUAAAGUACCUUUUUUAUACCUUUUCCUCAAACACUUCUUGAGGAGAGAAUAGAUGGGGUUGUUUUUUCAGGGAAAACAAGGAUUUUACCAAGGAGAGAAUGUAAUUGGAAGACUCAACUUCCCCCUCCCCAUCUCAGCUCCCCUUGAGGAUGGUGGAAACUGUUCUAGAAGAGAUUCUGGCUCCAACCAACAGUGAAGUGAGCAGUUGCUCACAGCAAAGAAGGAAGCACAUAAUCCACACAGGAUAGCAUCAUUGUAGACUAGACACAAACUCCCUCUUUCCAAAAAUAGCAGUGGGGAAAAUGACCUUGAAAGGAAGAAGCUGACAACUGAGUUGCAGAGUUCAAUUCAAGAAAAGAAUCUCAGAGAACUCGGUGGGUUCUUGUGUUUACAGUUUAUUUAAUGGAAAAGAGAUUGGCCUAUUCUGGUUUUGAUGCCUGCUUUGCCCCGGGAUGAGAAGGCUUCUUCAUCCACAGCAGAGUUUUCUGGGAU